GUCCACGCGGUAAACGAUGAAUACUAGAUGUCGGGUAGCAAAGCUACUCGGUGUCGUCGCAAACGCAAUAAGUAUUCCACCUGGGGAGUACGUUCGCAAGAAUGAAACUCAAAGGAAUUGACGGGGACCCGCACAAGCGGUGGAUGAUGUUCUUUAAUUCGAUGCAACGCGAAAAACCUUACCCACCUUUGACAUGUAUGGAAUCCUUUAGAGAUGAAGGAGUGCUCGAAAGAGAGCCAUAACACAGGUGCUGCAUGGCUGUCGU
This 265-nucleotide ribosomal RNA is filed under the name uncultured bacterium. RNAcentral's name for it is "partial 16S ribosomal RNA". It matches the Rfam family "Bacterial small subunit ribosomal RNA", at positions 793 to 1055 of the family's 1533-position model. The record is from RNAcentral.